This 609-nucleotide ribosomal RNA is filed under the name uncultured bacterium. RNAcentral describes it as "bacterial SSU rRNA". The stretch from base 1 to 517 matches the Rfam family "Bacterial small subunit ribosomal RNA", at positions 338 to 873 of the family's 1533-position model. The record is from RNAcentral.
CCUACGGGAGGCAGCAGUGGGGAAUCUUGCGCAAUGGGCGAAAGCCUGACGCAGCAACGCCGCGUGCGGGAAGAAGGCUUUCGGGCUGUAAACCGCUUUCAGCAGGAACGAAAAUGACGGUACCUGCAGAAGAAGGAGCGGCCAACUAUGUGCCAGCAGCCGCGGUGAUACAUAGGCUUCAAGCGUUGUCCGGAUUUAUUGGGCGUAAAGAGUUCGUAGGCGGUCGAGUAAGUCGGGUGUGAAAAUUCUGGGCUCAACCCAGAGACGCCACCCGAUACUGCUUAACUUGAGUUCGAUAGGGGAGUGGGGAAUUCCUAGUGUAGCGGUGAAAUGCGCAGAUAUUAGGAGGAACACCGGUGGCGAAGGCGCCACUCUGGAUCGAUACUGACGCUGAGGAACGAAAGCAUGGGUAGCAAACAGGAUUAGAUACCCUGGUAGUCCAUGCCGUAAACGGUGGGCACUAGGUGUGGGAUUCUAUUAACGUAUUCCGUCGCCGUCGCUACGCAUAGUGCCCGCCCGUCGGGUAGGUACGGUCGCGAGAACGUAAACUACGAAGAAGUAAGUAGGCGUUGAGACGUUGCCGAACGGCGACGACGAGGGGAGGUUAGG